CCCAGACUCCUACGGGAGGCAGCAGUGAGGAAUAUUGGUCAAUGGUCGAGAGGCUGAACCAGCCAAGUCGCGUGAGGGAGGACGGCCCUACGGGUUGUAAACCUCUUUUGUCAGGGAGCAAGGGACAGGUCGUGACCUGUUGUGAGAGUACCUGAAGAAAAAGCAUCGGCUAACUCCGUGCCAGCAGCCGCGGUAAUACGGAGGAUGCGAGCGUUAUCCGGAUUUAUUGGGUUUAAAGGGUGCGUAGGCGGUCCGUUAAGUCAGCGGUAAAAUUGCGGGGCUCAACCCCGUCGAGCCGUUGAAACUGGCAGACUUGAGUUGGCGAGAAGUACGCGGAAUGCGCGGUGCAGCGGUGAAAUGCAUAGAUAUCGCGCAGAACUCCGAUUGCGAAGGCAGCGUACCGGCGCCAGACUGACGCUGAGGCACGAAAGCGUGGGGAUCGAACAGGAUUAGAUACCCGUGUA
This 464-nucleotide ribosomal RNA is filed under the name uncultured bacterium. Its description in RNAcentral is "bacterial SSU rRNA". It matches the Rfam family "Bacterial small subunit ribosomal RNA", at positions 330 to 792 of the family's 1533-position model. The record is from RNAcentral.